This 486-nucleotide ribosomal RNA is filed under the name uncultured bacterium. RNAcentral describes it as "bacterial SSU rRNA". It matches the Rfam family "Bacterial small subunit ribosomal RNA", at positions 30 to 504 of the family's 1533-position model. The record is from RNAcentral.
CGAACGCUGGCGGCGCGUUUUAAGCAUGCAAGUCGAACGGUAAUAGAGUGCUUGCACUCUAUGAGAGUGGCGAACGGGUGAGUAACACGUAGAUGAUCUGCCUUACGAUUGGGGAUAGCCCAUGGAAACAUGGAGUAAUACCGAAUAAGCCCUUACUGCCUUGGUGGUUUGGGGAAAGGUGCUUCGGGAUCGUCGUAAGAUGAGUCUGCGGUUCAUUAGCUAGUUGGUGGGGUAAAGGCCUACCAAGGCGACGAUGAAUAGCCGGCCUGAGAGGGUGAACGGCCACACUGGGACUGAGACACGGCCCAGACUCCUACGGGAGGCAGCAGCUAAGAAUCUUCCGCAAUGGACGAAAGUCUGACGGAGCGACGCCGCGUGAAUGAUGAAGGCCGGAAGGUUGUAAAAUUCUUUUCCUGGGGAAGAAUAAUGUUUGGAGGUAAUGCCAGACAGAUGACAUUAACCAGGGAAUAAGCCACGGCUAAUUAC